This 1407-nucleotide long non-coding RNA is filed under the name Lynx canadensis (Canada lynx). RNAcentral's name for it is "lncRNA (ENSLCNG00005016081.1)". Lineage: Eukaryota; Metazoa; Chordata; Mammalia; Carnivora; Felidae. The record is from RNAcentral.
CUGGUAGUCAGUGGGGCUGUUUCUUCGAUUCCAGGCUCCUCGUGGUUGACUUCUCCGUCCACUGCAGUUCAGGCCUGCGGCAUCUGAUUGCUCUGACCAACCAAACGUCACAGGAAGCGAUGUGCGUGUGACUUCCAGGAGGAAGCUUUAAGAGCCCAUGUGAGUCUCCCCCAUCUCUUUCCGUGUUUGUGAGGUCCUGGAUGCACCUGUUGAGAUGCAGCCUCCAUCAUACUGGGUCACUGAGUGACGAUACCCACGGUGGACAUGUUGCAUGUGUAAGACAUUUUACUGCUUUAAAGCCAUUGAGAUUUGGGGGCCGUUUGUUACCACAGCAUACCCGAACCUGUCCUGACUGACAGUCACCAAGUUGGCCAAUAAGAACCUUGCCUAAGACUUUAGAAUUAGGACCUAGGCCUUUCUAGUGGGCUAGACCCAUGCUAUGUAAACCUUAUUGCUUUGUUUUUUUCCAUGGGGAUGUGGAAGCAGAGAAACCAUUCUUUAAAGAGAGAGAAGAAAACAGGAACACAGCGCCCGCCCCGGAUGCCUCUCCAUCACUCCCACCAUGUGGAAGGCUGCUCUUGAAAUGCUGUGUAUUAACUUCCCAUUGCUGCAGGGGUUGUCCAACCCUCCUGGCCAGCAUCACAUGGUGGCACUGGCUGGUUCACCAUCAUCAAUGUUGUUUGGAGGAUUGAUCAUGCUUUUCCAAACCCAUCCCCUCCACAGUCUUCCUGAGCCACAUUCUAACCAUGCGAAGUAAGUAGACAGAUUAUUAUCUUUAUUCAAUAGAAGAAGAGAACUAAGGUCCACAGAGAAGGAAGUUCAUUCAUCACUCAACAAAUAUUUAUCAAGAGUCCACAGUGCUGGCCCUGGGAUGUAGCAGAGACCAAACAAAUGGUCCCAGCCUAGUGUUGGUAAUAAGUCAGCAGCAGAAACCAUGACGGGCAUGUUGCUUUUUCAGCCAGCACCCCUUCCGUGAGGGAAUCAACCUCUCCACAUCCCAUUCCUGUUGUGGUGGUCAAUCAAGGUGUUCCCCCCUCAUUUUGCAUAGUUAGGGAGAGAGGGCAGUGGUCUGGGUGGAACCAAUAUGGCACCAUACUCCCUGGACACAGUGAUUGGGCAGAGGGUGGGCAGACGAUCCUAGCAGGACCAAUCAGAGUCUUCCCCGGGGUUUUCAUAUGGAUGUUGGGGGACAGACAUUUCUUUCUAAGGUUGCUAAAGUAGAUGGGUCUCAGGUUGCUGGCAAUCAUCUUGGUAUAGGAGAGAAGUGUCAAGAAGAAUAAAACCAAUUAGAGACAAGUAGUGUAGACACACAAGAGAGAAUCAGAGACUGACAACAUCGUUUGAUCCCUGGAUCCAGUUAUGCCUGAAGUUAGCACACCUACACUUUCUAGUUAUGUGAGCCAACCC